This 313-nucleotide ribosomal RNA is filed under the name uncultured Glomeromycotina. Its description in RNAcentral is "LSU rRNA". Lineage: Eukaryota; Fungi; Glomeromycota. The record is from RNAcentral.
UUGAAAGGGAAACGAUUGAAGUCAGUCAUGCCGGUGGGAAUCAACUUAGGGGAAACUCUAGGUGCACUUCUUCGCUUGGCAGGUCAACGUCGAUUUUGAAUGUCAUAAAAUAAUUGGGGGAAGGUAGCUCCUUCGGGAGUGUUAUAGCCCUUGAUAGAUGUGAUGUUUGGGGUCGAGGAUUGCAACGGAUACCCUCUGGGGCUAGCCGCCUGAUCUCUAANUGGUGUUGGGUUACGGAUAGCAUGCUGACCGUGAUCUAAUUACUGGUUAAAAAGGUUAAGGUGUACAUAAAUUCGUUAAGGAUGUUGACGUA